RNAcentral lists this transfer RNA (74 nucleotides) under Felis catus (domestic cat). It matches the Rfam family "tRNA". Rfam says of the family: Transfer RNA (tRNA) molecules are approximately 80 nucleotides in length. The record is from Rfam by way of RNAcentral. Lineage: Eukaryota; Metazoa; Chordata; Mammalia; Carnivora; Felidae.
GCCCCAUUGGGCUCAGUGGGUAGAGCAUGCGACUUUUGAUCUCAGGGUUGUGAGUUCGAGCCCCAUGUGGGGUG